GACAGAGGGGGCAAGCGUUGCUCGGAAUCACUGGGCGUAAAGGGCGCGUAGGCGGGAUGGCAAGUCAGUCGUGAAAUCUCUCGGCUCAACCGAGAAACGUCGGCUGAUACUGCCGUUCUUGAGGGAUGCAGAGGGGACUGGAAUUCCCGGUGUAGCGGUGAAAUGUGUAGAGAUCGGGAGGAACACCGGUGGCGAAGGCGGGUCUCUGGGCAUCUCCUGACGCUGAGGCGCGAAAGCGUGGGGAGCAAACGGG
RNAcentral lists this ribosomal RNA (253 nucleotides) under uncultured bacterium. RNAcentral describes it as "partial 16S ribosomal RNA". It matches the Rfam family "Bacterial small subunit ribosomal RNA", at positions 524 to 776 of the family's 1533-position model. The record is from RNAcentral.